This 456-nucleotide unclassified non-coding RNA is filed under the name Hevea brasiliensis (rubber tree). The record is from RNAcentral. Lineage: Eukaryota; Viridiplantae; Streptophyta; Magnoliopsida; Malpighiales; Euphorbiaceae.
CCAGUUGAGAAUGGUGACAGGGCCAGUAAGCAUUCCCUUCAUUGGCCUCUUGGUCAUCUCUUGAGCUUUUGAGGACCAGAAGACAGUCAUUGGCUUAGGGCGGCUCACAUCACCAUAGAUGAUUGGUGGCUUCACACAUCGAGAUCCAUAAGAUUGAACCCAUCCAUUGGCAGUGAAAGCAAAACCAGAGAGCUGCUCUCCGAAGUACUCAACCAUAUCGUUCCUCUCAGGCUCUCCGUGAACCAAGACAUCAAUGUCAAGUUCCUCCUGGAGAUCAACAACCUUCUUGAUUUCCUCGGUGAUGGCCUUAACAUACUCCUCCUCAGAGAUCUUCUUGGCCUUGUAUUCACGACGAACUCUCCUGAGCUCCACUGUCUGGGGGAAGGAUCCAAUGGUGGUUGUGGGCAGGAUUGGUAGGUUAAGCUUCUUUUGUUGGGCAUCAAGUCUAGCACUAAC